UACGGGGGUGCGAGCGUUGUCCGGAAUCACUGGGCGUAAAGGGCGCGUAGGUGGUUUGAUAAGGGUGUGGUGAAAGCCCGGGGCUCAACCCCGGGUCUGCCGUGCCGACUGUCAAACUCGAGGGCUGUAGAGGCAGACGGAAUUCCGGGUGUAGCGGUGGAAUGCGUAGAGAUCCGGAGGAAGACCGGUGGCGAAGGCGGUCUGCUGGGCAGUUUCUGACACUGAUGCGCGACAGCGUGGGGAGCAACAGG
This 251-nucleotide ribosomal RNA is filed under the name uncultured bacterium. Its description in RNAcentral is "partial 16S ribosomal RNA". It matches the Rfam family "Bacterial small subunit ribosomal RNA", at positions 524 to 775 of the family's 1533-position model. The record is from RNAcentral.